CGCGCCGCCCCCCUCCUCCGCCGCGAGCUGCGGCCCCCCGCGCUCGGUACCCCCGGCGCCUCCCACCUUGCGCCGCCGUGACUCCUGCCGCGCGCCGCGGUGCCGCCGUCCUCCACGCGCAGCCCAACCUCUCCACCUCGCUCCGCCCCCGCGCUCGAGAAACGCCGUGCCACCGCCCCUGUGUUCCCUCGUGGCACUGCGCCGGCCUCCGUCGCGCUCGGCCCCCACGCUCCAUGCCCGCUGCGACCCCGCGCCCCAGAACCGCCGCGGCUGCCCCUGCAUCCACCUCGCUCGCCGACUACGCCCAAGCGUUCAUCCGGGUGGGUCUCGCCGGAUUAGUGCAGGAGGACGUGUGACGAUGGAGUGCACUUGCCGAGAAGUUUGCCAUGUGCGAUGUGGCUAGAGCUAGGAGGCUAGGAUCGUCCCAGCAUUGGUAGUGCAGAUGGCAACAAGAUAUUCAGUUAUACUCGCACAAUAUCUAUCACACGCUUAAUGCCAUCAGUGAGCCAAUUGUGAAAUCUGGGACUCUGGGGCGAAUAGCAAUGACCAGUGAUAAUGGGCCCAGAGGGUCACUCAGAGGCUAAUUUGAUGGCGGUAAGCUCUAGCUGCAUAUUUAAUUAAGUUCAGAUUUUUUCCUCCAAAGGGUUCAGAACAGAGAAAUAAUAUUGUAACUUCAAAAUAUUCUUCUGAUGUUUGAUGAAAAGAACAUUGCUCAGUAACAGUAUGUGUGUUUUUCUUGUAAUCAAUUCGAAGAACAUUUCAGAAAAUUGAACUCUAAGCUGCUAUAGAUGCCAGGCAUGCUAGACUGAUUUGGUUCGUGGAUAUGUGAUGCAUUUUACGGCAAUGCUACCAUGGUAAGAGUGAAAGGAGGAUUACAGAGGUAUGCUAAAAUGGUUUCUCUCUUAAAUUGGAAAUGUGGAGUAAAUGAAUGUGGUUUUCAUGCUUUAAAAUGUCCUAGCUAUAGCCGGUAAUCUAGAGCUAAUAUAUUAUUUGUCAAUUAUGAAUCCUCUAUUGUUUAUGAUUCAAAUUUGUUUUGCUAUAAAACAUUAAAUAUUAAUCACUGGAGCUGCUAAAAUGGACUCUGCACUUGUUGCAUCAGCUUCUCAUGUCCCUAUCUACAAAUAAUAAUGGAGCUCCAAGUCAUACCGCAGACUUGUUAAAUAAAGGUUUGUGGAGUAGAGCUUGCUAACGAGUUGGAUGGUAAGAAAGUUAUCAUGCGAGAAAUUGCACUUUGAUUUGGCUAUGCUAAACUGAAAUUAGGAGUGUCGGUGUAAGAAAUGAAGGGUACACCUCCUAGGAUUAAAAGCUAUUAGCAUAAUAUUGUUGCUUGUUUUGAAGAGAUAAUGACAUCAACGCUUGCAGCUGGGGAAAGAGUUAAAAGAUUAUUGUAAUGAGUUAUGGCUACAACAAGUAAGUCUGAUCAAUCUUUAGCCUUGCUGAUGCCUGAUGUAUGUCAUCAAGCAAGCACUUCGUUGGUUCUGAGGCUGGCAAGGUGCGCUGACCUUCUUCUCCAUUUAAUCUGCUAAGGAGUGUCGUCUAGCAUCGCUCCUUUUAACGAUGAAUCAUGCCUAAAUAUCAGGCUGUUGAUUAAAAUAACACUGGAAACUUUUAUUCGUUGAGUCUAGUAUUUGGCACAUUUCUAACCACUUUCAGGCUGUUGAACAAUUCUGUGUAAGUUUGGACUAGUCAAGGUGCUUGUGGUAUUAUCCAAAAUUGUGAUGCUGGUUCUCUUUCUUUUCCCAUAAUUUCUGAAUCCCAAGUGAAUUUGAUUUACUGUCAGUGCUUCCAUAUAAUCUUAACAUGUGGACAUUAUACAUACACAAUGAU
Molecule: long non-coding RNA, 1827 nt
Organism: Panicum hallii
Lineage: Eukaryota; Viridiplantae; Streptophyta; Magnoliopsida; Poales; Poaceae
Exons: 4
Source: RefSeq, a predicted model, not a curated record